Gallus gallus (chicken) is the source of this 379-nucleotide long non-coding RNA. Lineage: Eukaryota; Metazoa; Chordata; Aves; Galliformes; Phasianidae. The record is from Ensembl.
CUUCAUUUGGGAGAUGGAGUGUUCUGUAGCUAGAAAUCCUAUUGCUAGCUGGAUCUGUUUCUCCACAGUCACACUGCUUUCCUGAAGAAUACUGACAAGUUUAGCAAGAAAUGGGAGAAAAUGAUGGGUAUCAAUACUUAGAAAUGAUUAUAUUAUUAUGAUAUAUACACUGAUGCAGGAAUCACUGUUGUUAACAAUGAGGUCAAACAAGGAAUGCGAGUGGUGGUGGUAGGGAGAAAACAGAAGCAGAACUUGAUAUAGAUGGGAGGCAGAGCAAGAUCUCAGACCAGCUGUUGUCCUAACUAAAAAGCCUUUACAAGUAUUCCUGAGCAUUAUUUUCAUUAAUUCAUGCUCCCUCCACUGCCUUUAAAUAAACGAA